Molecule: ribosomal RNA, 503 nt
Filed under: uncultured bacterium
Lineage: Bacteria
Description: partial 16S ribosomal RNA
Rfam family: Bacterial small subunit ribosomal RNA
Source: RNAcentral
AACGAACGCUGGCGGCGUGCCUAACACAUGCAAGUCGAACGAGAAAGGGGCUUCGGCUCCGAGUCAAGUGGCGCACGGGUGCGUAACACGUGGGUAACCUGCCUCUAAGAUUGGGAUAACUCGUCGAAAGAUGAGCUAAUACCGAAUAAGACCACAGUUCCCGCGGGAACAGGGGUCAAAGGUAGCCUCUGCUUGCAAGCUAUCACUUGGAGAUGGGCCUGCGCACCAUUAGCUAGUUGGUAGGGUAACGGCCUACCAAGGCAAAGAUGGUUAGCUGGUCUGAGAGGAUGAUCAGCCACACUGGAACUGAGACACGGUCCAGACUCCUACGGGAGGCAGCAGUGGGGAAUAUUGCGCAAUGGGCGAAAGCCUGACGCAGCAACGCCGCGUGAGUGAUGAAGGCCUUCGGGUCGUAAAGCUCUGUCGGGAGGAACGAAUGCUCCUGAGGUUAACAGCCUCGGGAGGUGACGGUACCUUCAAAGGAAGCACCGGCUAACUCUGUG